CAUACUCAGGUAGCUGAACUCAUUCUGACUGAAGUUAACACCUGAGUAAUGUAUUAGCCAGAUGAAUCUGGCUAAUGCAGAGAGUAAUUAGUCAGAGGAACAUAGAGCUCCAAGAAUGGUGUCUUGCCACAUUAUUGUCCUGAACGUGCUGAUGUUACAUGAAGCUGGAGAAGGAAGCUGCCUGGAAUGUGUCCUUUUAAAACCAGUCUUCAUUUUAAACAGAUGAAAUAUGGGUUCUGUGGUUUAUUUAAUUUUUGGUUCCUCAGUGCAGGAAUUCAGGCUAAUAUCCUAAGGUAGCAGAAGUUCUUUAAUGUAUAGACAUACAGAACCUUGUGAGUAUUGCAAUUCUUUAACUGUAAAACUGGCUAUAGGUUUCACUGGAUUUCAGAAAUGGAAGUUUCACUAAACUGAAGUAAAUCCAUAUCUUUACUUAUUUGUGUCUGCAUACAUAUGGAGAGAGACAUAUACAUAUUACAUGUAUUUAAACAUAUAUGUCUGCAUGCAUAUAUAUUUCUGGAAUAUAUUAGAAUUACAAAUCAAGAGUGAACUGAAAAAUGAGAUGUCUUUCUGUAUUUGCAGGUCUGAACUGAUAGCCCUGAUUAUCAAAGACAAAAUCCUUUGACUUUAAUUUUCAGCAUUAUAGAAUUUGGCAUUUCCCUAAAUAUACUGCAGUUCUCUCAUUCCUGCUGAAUGCACCAUUUUGCUGCAGCUAUGCACCUACAUACGAGUGUCUGUGUAUGUGCGUAUAUACAUACAUACAAAUAGAUUCAUUGUUGUUAUCUCCUUGAACUGUUGCAACCCAUGUUUCUCUGGCUGCAUUUCACAACAGCAGUUGUUAGCCUCACUCCAUUGUCUUGGCUGUCAGAAGUAGAGCCUAUUUUGCAAUCAAGCAGCUGCAAAUCUGUCUCAGUGAUUGGAAGUCUUCUUUUGAUCCGUCACUUUUCCCAGGCAAGUCCUCAAAAUUCAUACUGUAUUUGAGAUACUGCAAGAACCUUGGACUGCAAUAACAGCUGUGAUUUUGACAGCUGAAAGCAUGCAGUUGGGCAGGUCUGAAGUACAUGAGAAGAAAACUGCAUUUUCAGAUGUUGAGUUGUGAUCUGAUCUCUCUUGCAUUUUCUUUCCCUUGUAUUUCUUUCUACCAUGUCAGUCAGGAGGUCAGGGUGGAGUAGCAGCUUACACUGUGAAGGUGAUUAAUGGCAGAUUUGUAAUUGCAAAGUCUGGGUGUGCGUGUGUGUACGUGCGCAUGCAUAUUGCUAAGCUAAAUCAAGGUGUUUAAUUCAUAAGUUUUCUUGUGAUUUGCAUUCACAGAAGGCUGGAUGUCUCAAAAUGUUUGUGACAGUUUCUGCUUCCUUAACGUCAUUUCCUUUUCCACCAAAAGGCACAUUAAUUUUCCUUCUGUAGGAGAGGAGUUUGAAAGUUGUGAAGGGCAUUAUCUUUCUUCCAGACUUAUCUUUCUUCCACAAAAUGUUAAGACAAUUUUAUACCUCACUGAUACAAGUUCCACACUACAUAUUGUUUGCCUUUCUCUCUCUCUCUUUUUUUUUCCCCCCUUCAUCUUGCUUCUGAGGGCAAGUUCAAUUACUGAUUCUAAGCUCCUUGGCAUGUAAAUAAGACUUGUGUCUUCUCUGAAAAAGAUUACAAUUUCAGUACAGCAGGCAGAACAAUAUAGGGCAUCCAGAUUUUCGAUGAGCUUGGAAGAGAAGGAGAAUUGCUUAAUCUAGGAUCUCUAAGAAAAUAACUUGAAAGGGCAGUGAGGAUGGUAAGGAUUUGAUGCAUAAAGAGUCUGGAUAUGAGACAACAGCUUGAUAGAAGAUGCAACAGUUGGAUCAGGAAGGGACUAAGAAGUAAGAAAGACAAGUGGGCAUGAAGACUUUACAUUUUUGUUGGGAAACUCUUUCUGAGUUAAAGAAAGAAAGAAAUGUCAUUAUUAUUAUACUCCAGGUAGUGAGGGAAAGCUUAGAGCUAAUGCUGCAGGGGAAAACAAGGCAAGAAAGAGACUAGAAUAGCUGAUGUUUUCAUCGCAUGAUAGAGAUCUGUGGUCAGCAGCAGGAAAUUAUAUCAGAUCAUAUUCAAAGAAUAGAAUAUCAGAUGUAAUGAGGAAUGUAGAAAUGUAUUAACGUUUCCCCAUUUUCACUGUCUGCUGAGUAAACCACCAAAAGUGCAACAAAAAUAAAGCAUAAAUUAAAAAUAAACCAAAUCCAAACUGCUGAAUCAUUUAAGGAUUAUUUCCACCAGCAUCUUAGACUAAUGUUUGGAUUAUUCCUUUCUAUGUGGAAGCCUCAUGGCUUGCACAACACAAGGUGAAAAAAAUGGAAAGUUUCACUUUUUUCCUUACUGAGAAGAAUGUUCUGCUACAGAGUGCAUCUGCAAGAGGAAACUGAAGCCUCAUUUUUCAGCAGCUGUAUUUUCCUGAGCAUGCUUGAACUUACUAGCAUUGAUGCAGCCUACAAAUCUUACAAGUGAUGUCCUGAAAACCCAGAAGAUAAUUAGCCACACUCUUCACUGCUGUAAUAUCAGCAAAAUGAUACAAGUCCAAUUAAACCAAAGUAAAAUAAACUACUGAAAAACUGCAUAAACACCAUAAACUGGUCUUUCCAAACACAGAAAAAACAUCGCAGCUGCUGUGGUCCUGGUGCAUACAAACCUGUGAUGAGGUCAGCUUUCCACAUUUCUGCAUACGAUUCCAAAGUGGACCAUUUUAAGGAACCAAAAAAGACCAAUCCUGGCCCUGGAGCAUACCAGAUUUGUCGGUCACUGCUAUUUGAGACUGUAAUCUUUUGGAAGGUUUUUCUGCUUCAAGAAUAAAGCUGCAUAUGGCUACACCACUUAUUUCAUAUUUAGGUGAUGCUCCUGAUGGAGGAAGAUGGGGAUGGCACUGGAUUCUGUGACAGAAGGAAAGAGUGCAGGAAAUAACUCCCCAGUUCGCUUGAUUUUUACCUGAUGAUUUACAAGUUUCCAUGGAAAUAAAUAGGAGGCAAUACUUUCAAAACAGCCUACAUAUCUGCAACAAAUUUUGCUGGGAAAUUCUCAGUAUCACCUCUUGGAUAAACUCAGCAUGCUGAGUGUAAGGCUUUCAUAAAGAUUACAAUGUAAACAGACAGUGCAAUCUCAACCUGCCAUCAGAUGUGCUGCAUUUGUAUUGUGAGUACAUUUUUAGAGAAAUGCGUUGUACUGUUUAUUUUUGAAACACUAAUAAAUAGUACCAUGGUA
Numida meleagris (helmeted guineafowl) is the source of this 3210-nucleotide long non-coding RNA. RefSeq lists it as uncharacterized. NCBI's taxonomy places the organism in Eukaryota, Metazoa, Chordata, Aves, Galliformes, Numididae. The record is from RefSeq and is a predicted model, not a curated record. The transcript is spliced from 8 exons.